RNAcentral lists this ribosomal RNA (253 nucleotides) under uncultured bacterium. RNAcentral describes it as "partial 16S ribosomal RNA". It matches the Rfam family "Bacterial small subunit ribosomal RNA", at positions 524 to 776 of the family's 1533-position model. The record is from RNAcentral.
UACGUAGGGAGCAAGCGUUGUUCGGAGUUACUGGGCGUAAAGAGUGCGUAGGCGGUCCUGUAAGUUUGGUGUGAAAUCUCCCGGCUCAACUGGGAGGGUGCGCCGAAGACUGCAGGGCUUGAGUAUGGGAGAGGUAAGCGGAAUUCCUGGUGUAGCGGUGAAAUGCGUAGAUAUCAGGAGGAACACCUGUGGCGUAGACAGCUUACUGGACCAUAACUGACGCUGAGGAACGAAAGCGUGGGUAGCAAACAGG